UACAUGUGGGGCAAGCGUUGUUCGGAAUUACUGGGCAUAAAGGGUGCGUAGGCGGCUUGUUAAGUCAGGGGUGAAAGUUUUCGGCCCAACCGGAAAAUUGCCUUUGAUACUGGCGAGCUGGAGUGCGUGAGGGGUGACCGGAACGAGUGGUGUAGCGGUGAAAUGCGUAGAUAUCUGGAGGAACACCGGUGGCGAAGGCGGCAUCCUGGACCGAGAUUGACGCUGAGGCGCGAAAGCGUGGGGAGCAAACAGG
This 253-nucleotide ribosomal RNA is filed under the name uncultured bacterium. RNAcentral describes it as "partial 16S ribosomal RNA". It matches the Rfam family "Bacterial small subunit ribosomal RNA", at positions 524 to 776 of the family's 1533-position model. The record is from RNAcentral.